AACGAACGCUGGCGGCAUGCCUAACACAUGCAAGUCGAACGAAGCCUUCGGGCUUAGUGGCGCACGGGUGCGUAACACGUGGGAAUCUGCCCUUAGGUACGGAAUAACAGUUAGAAAUGACUGCUAAUACCGUAUGAUGACUCCGGUCCAAAGAUUUAUCGCCUAAGGAUGAGCCCGCGUCGGAUUAGCUAGUUGGUGAGGUAAAGGCUCACCAAGGCGACGAUCCGUAGCUGGUCUGAGAGGAUGAUCAGCCACACUGGGACUGAGACACGGCCCAGACUCCUACGGGAGGCAGCAGUGGGGAAUAUUGGACAAUGGGCGAAAGCCUGAUCCAGCAAUGCCGCGUGAGUGAAGAAGGCCUUAGGGUUGUAAAGCUCUUUUACCCGGGAUGAUAAUGACAGUACCGGGAGAAUAAGCUCCGGCUAACUCCGUGCCAGCCGCCGCCGUAA
RNAcentral lists this ribosomal RNA (449 nucleotides) under uncultured bacterium. Its description in RNAcentral is "partial 16S ribosomal RNA". It matches the Rfam family "Bacterial small subunit ribosomal RNA", at positions 29 to 523 of the family's 1533-position model. The record is from RNAcentral.